AUGGCAGAAGCUUCAACAUACACUACCAUUAUGCAACUAUUCCACGAUUGGGAAAUCCAUGCAUUGAUUCUCUUGAGCUUUGUCCUGCAACUAUUCCUCUUCUUCUCCGGCGGCCUUCGGCGCCGCCACAGCCAUAUGCUGCUUACAAUCAUGAUAUGGUUGUCUUACCUAUCAGGUGAUUUCAUAGCAGCAUAUGCACUAGGCCACCUUUCAGUCAAUUUGCCUACCACUUCCACCACAGAUGACAAUGAUCAUCAUAAACCAGCCCAUCAGCUCACUCUCUUGUGGGCACCUUUCCUUCUUAGCCACCUUGGAGGACAGGACACUGUGACUGCUUUUUCAUUGGAGGACAAUGAGCUGUGGUUGAGGCAUCUGCUGAACCUUCUAGGCCAAGCAUGCCUAGUUGUGUAUGUGUUGUGGAAAUGGGCGGCAUUGGCACACUACCAACUUGUAAUCCCGGCUGCAUUGUUAUUCAUUGCCGGGAUCAUCAAGUAUGGGGAGAGGAUUUGGGCACUCAAGUUGGGAAGCCAGAAAGGCCUCAGGACCUCCACUAGCAGAGAAGCAAAGAAGGCAUCCCUUGAAGUAGAGGACAGUGAAAACAAUGUGCAGGCCUAUCAAGCAAUUGUUAGGUAUGCUGCUCUUCACACAGAGCGAGGCUUGCGGGAUAUAUUUGCUGGACGAAAACUCUUCGACAUGGACGAGCAAACUCUGGAAAAAAUUGGCGAGGCUUCGGGAGAUGUACAAACGGUUUUCAAGAGGGUGGAGAUUGAGCUUAGCAUAAUGUAUGACGGCUUCUUCACGAAAUCCCGGGUAAUUCAAACAAUGCCCGGUGCCAUCCUUUGGUGUGUCUCCCUCGCCUCCACAGUGGUUGCCUUUGUGCUCUACGUCAAGAUGAUGAUGACUAGUAGUGCCGAUGCCGAGAAAACGGAGAAAGAGUAUAAAAGAAGUAGAGUUGAUGCUGCGAUCACCUAUAUAUUAUUCAUUGGAGCAUUUUGCUUGGAAGCUUGCUCGUUCUUCAUGGUGAUGAUGUCACCAUGGGAGUGGCCCUUCUUGGAAGCUCGAGCUGGAUGGUGUCAUGCGCUGCUCACUCGAGUGGCCUGGCCUAUCUUCGCGAGGAUCCAACCAGAGACCAAGUCAUGGUGGUCAAACUCAAUGGGGCAGUACAACUUGUUUAGCUCCACCAGGAGCAUGUCAGCUCAAGACCGCAGGAAGUGGAGUAGCACCAUCUUGUUAAUGGCAAAGAAGAUGGCAGGCGUAUUUGGAGCUAGUGAGCUAUGGAAGAAGAUAAGCAACACCAAGCAUGCCCAAGUCACGAGGGAGAUCAAGGAGCUCAUCCAUGACUCAUUAGGCCACGAGUGGGGUAGUCCUAAGCCCAUCAGCGUUCCAGACGUGGUGGUGCACAAGGCGGCCAAGUCAACAAUGAUGAUGAGUAGCAGUGGCGAUGGCCGGCCGCUGGUUGAUGUGGCGACCCAAGAGGAGGACCAAGAGGCAGCACGGCGGCGACGUCUUGUGGAUACCUGCAAGAUGCUAUCUGAGUACAUGUUGUACCUGCUGGUGGAGCACCCUGACAUGUUACCCGUCAGCACCAACGUGCAGGAUGUAUUGGCGUCGCGCUCAGACUGUGUCACGGGUGCAUCCAGCAAGGACGACUUUCUUGAUAUAUUUACUAGUGGUGACUUGGACUUUCCUGACUGGAUCUUCUUGCGGGAUCACAAAGCGGUGCUGGAAGACCAAGGGGGCAUCCAGGCCGAGGUGGAAAGACUGGAGCAGGUGUGGGUGCGGAUGCUUGUGUACGCAGCCGGAAAGUGCCGGCCGGAAGAGCAUGCCCGACGGCUGAGCACUGGGGGAGAGCUCAUCACCUUGGUUUGGCUGCUCAUGGCGCAUCAGGGGCUGGGAGACGUGCAGAACAGUGUCGGUCUUAUCAGAGAUGGUAUCAGCCGACGACAUCUUUUCGAUUUUGAGGAGGAGGUGUUAAGUCGUACCAACUUGACGGAUUCUGCACCAAAGGAGGAAGAGGAGUUAACUACUGCCAACUUGACUUAA
Molecule: ribosomal RNA, 2043 nt
Filed under: Triticum aestivum (bread wheat)
Lineage: Eukaryota; Viridiplantae; Streptophyta; Magnoliopsida; Poales; Poaceae
Description: partial small subunit ribosomal RNA
Source: RNAcentral